Molecule: non-coding RNA, 5560 nt
Organism: Durio zibethinus
Lineage: Eukaryota; Viridiplantae; Streptophyta; Magnoliopsida; Malvales; Malvaceae
Source: RefSeq, a predicted model, not a curated record
UCUAUGAUGUUAUGUAGGGUUUUAGACAUUUGGGUCUUGGGUUUCAUUGAGUUCCUACUGUCACUGUCUUUUGCCCAAUGAUGGAAAACUCAUUUUUGAUACAAGGCUUCUGGUUAUUAGUUCGUCUCUGGCAUUUGCACACCACCUCCAUUCUCUCUCUCUCUCUCUCUCUCUCUCUCUCUCUCUCUCUCUCCCCCCCCUUGUACACAUGUUUUUGUGUAUGAAUGUAUGUAUAUAUAUAUAUCUUUGGCGGUAAGGUGGUGUGUGAAAAGCUAUUGAUGAUUGCCUUUACAGUGAACUGUACAUGAUCUUGGCGUAGCUAUGAGACCUGAGGGCUUUUGGCUGCACAGUUAGAGUUUACUAAGUUAGAGGUUGCCUUCAGCCAAAAGAGGCCGACUUUUGGCAUUAAUAAAUACCAAAUGCAGUGCCACUAUAAAUGUAUAUAAAUUCAUUGAAAUUUUAAUUAAUACAUCAGAGAAAUGUAAACUUUGUAUUUCUCUGGUUGAUUACGUAUUUGUAUUUACCUUUAAUCUUUGCAGUCAUGUGAGUUUGAUUUUCUAUUGUUUUAUAUGAUAAUGUGUAUGUAUGCAUUUUUCGCUUUUUGGGGUUUUUUUUUUUCUACGAGCGUAUUUUUCCAGGCAGUCUUAGAGAUAUCUUUUAGUUGUUUAAGUUUGGUCCUGAGAUCACUUCUACUUAGCAGUCUUUGAUAGUAGUUUGCUAUCCACUUGCCCUGCUAAAUGAUGGUUACUUUUGCGUAUAGAUUACUAUGCCAUUGUUGUUUCCAUCCUUUCUACUAUUUAUCAUCACUAGUUUUGGCUCUUUUUUUUUUACCUCUUGUUGUUGUUAUUAUUAUUAUUAUUAUUAUUAUUAUUAUUAUUAUUAUUAUCAUUCAUUGUCUUCUGAUUAUUGAUGGCACGGGUAGUAUUGGUUUAAUAAAAUUUAAUAGCAUAUGGUGUAUUUGAAGUUCCAAGUGUUUUAAUGUCUCCAAGUUGAUGAUGUUGCAGGUUAUAGGAGUGUAAAUAUACUGCUUUAAUUUUAAUUUGACCGUAUCACGAGUUAGAUAUUACCAUAACUAAUGUCUAAAGUAAUCAGCCUGAUGAAUGGUUGCAUUCUUAUUUUCUUAAACCUUCAUUCCUUUAUUGAGAAUUAUGCAUGUUGAGGCUAAAGCCUUAUUUUAAUUAAAUGGAAUUAUUUAUAAAUGGAAUACUGUUUUUGAGUGGCUUCAGUGAGUAAUUCUUAGUAGUGAGGAAUCCUUUUCUAUCCUUAAAACAAACCAAGGUUUUCUAUAAUCUCUCCCUCUCCUUUCCCUUAUUUUAGCUAUCCACACAUAGAAAUGGCAAAUCCUUUUAAAUCUUUUCUUUUCCUUUCCUUUACUGUUUCAAUCCAAACAUAGUGUAAAAGAUUUGUAUUUCAUAAAGUAGUUGUUAUGGAUCUUUCAAGGUAGUGCUUUGAAGUUAUGGUUGAGUUGCUCAAAAUAAAUUCCUUUUAAGAAGUUGUUAUAGUAGAUCAUAGUUUUUUCCUAUUUUAGUUUGAUUAUGGUAUUUGGUAUUUGUGUCUUGGGAUACAUUGUGAUCAGCGUUGCUGCUUUUGCCAAGUGAUGGAAAAACUCAUUUUGAUCAAGCAGUUAUGGUUUUUGAUUCAUCUAUAGCUUUUAUGCAACACCUUCGUUCUCUCUCUUCUCUCUAUACAUGCACAUGUUGUGUGAAUGCAUAUUGUAAGCAUGUAUGUAUAUCUUUGGUUGUGUGUGAGAAGCAAUUGGUGAAUAUCGUUAUUGCAAACCAUACACGAUCUUGUCAAAGUUGAAAUAUGCGUGCCAGUAGCCUUGGGCACGUUGGCCUCUUUGCGGACACUAGAUCCCAUAGGCUUGAUAUAUAGUGGUGUAAAUGAUACAUUAGUACUCGUAAGCUACUCGAGUUCGAUUCGAAUAAAAUUCGAAUUCGACUUAAUUAUUAUCGAGUCGAGCUUGAGCUUGAGUAGUUUAACUCAUUGAUAGAGUCGAGUUCGAGUAUUUUUUUACCCAGUUCGAGUAUUUCGCUAGCCUAAUCAAGCUUUUAUGUUUAAAUAUGUUUUUAUUAUUUUAAUUAAUAAAAUAUUUUGAACUCGAGCUCGAGCACAAAUAAUCGAGUUUUUGUCUACUAUAAGAAUUGAGUUUAUUUUUACAUGUUAAUCGAGACUAAUUAAGUGAGUUUGAGUAGCUCGAUUUUUAUCUUGAGUCGACUUCGAGCUAGAAAAAUAAAACUCGAUCAAGUUUGAGCCGAGUUUCGAGCCUUGAAUUUUGAAUUGAGCUCGAGCUUAAGCUUAAUAUUGUAUCGACUCAAACACGAUCGAUUACACCUCAUUGACAACAACUUCCCUCCACUCUUCCCUGCAAUACACUAGUGCAAUGUAAGCACUUGUCAUCAAGCAAACAGACCCACAAUCCACUAGUGCAAUGUAAGUACAUUGCCCGACAUUGAAGCUCAGCAAAUAAACAAGUGAUCAGACACUGUUAAUGCACAUCAAUAAACAUUCAAACAAACACACAAGUUACUUUUCUUGCCUCCACGAAGGUUUUUUUUUCCCUUGGAUGUAGGAGUUGAGGCUCUAUGAUCCAACACCUCUUGGAUUGUGGCCUACUGGUUCUUAUCCUCGCCAUAACCAAACAGUGUUGGUGAAUGUUCUCCUGCUUAACAAAGUUUAGUGAAGGACAAUUUCUCACACUCUAAAGCCUCCACUUGUUUCGCAUCACCAUCCUCUAAUUUCGGAAUUCCCCUAUUUAACGCACUCGCAUACGGUAAUUUUAUUUUUGAAAGGGAAUAGUAUUUCAUGUGCUCCACAAUGAAUUUGUCAUAGUUGGGGUGGUUAUUGGAAGGCAACCCAAUCACUCACGUAUGCUUGGGUGUUUGAAGAGAGUACAGUCAGUCAUUUCUCUCCCUCGGCUCGAAGAAGAUCAAAGAGAUCCGCCCCUUCAAUCGAUAGGUGAUGAAGUAUGUCACUACGAUUUCCCCUAAGAGUUUGGCCCUAAGCCCUAUGGGGCUCUUAUAAAUUGCGCUUUUAUGGGUUUCAAGGUUAGAUGUGGUUUUUAGUUAAAAAAAAAAAGGACAAUAAAUUAGAUGCCAAACUUAGUCCAAAGGGCAAAUGAUGUGUGUUUAAAUUUUGAGUUAUGUUUGAAUUAUGGAAUUCAUUAGUGCCAAAUACAACUCCAACUUAUGACUAGUUCAUUGUUUAUCGAAGUUUUAAUUAAGCAUUAGAGAAUACAAAUUGAGCAGUUCCUCUUUCAAACAUUCACACACAUAGUUUAACGAAUAUUAAAUUUUUGCAGUCGGGCUUGACUGAUUCUUACUUUUGUUUUUCUCUAUGAGUUUAUGUCUCCAAUUAGUUUAUGAUAUGUAUUUUACUCAUGUAAUUUUUUUUUUUUUUAUUUUGUUUUGGGAAUAUUAAGUUAUAUGGCCUUAUUACUGUGUUGGCAGUGAAAACUUAUUGAUUCACCAUCAGUGAAUUGUCAUAAGUCUCAGUUUUGAGCUCUGAGAACAUUGUAAGUUGUAGGAGUUUAGAGGUGUAUGGAAAGUUCAUAUGUUUUGAGGUUUCUCAUUGAAUGAUUUGCAGGUUGUAGGAGUUUAAAUAUGCUGCUUUCAAUUAUAAUUUGGCCUCACGAUCAGUGGCAGAGCUAGGAUUUUUAUUAAGAUGGGGCCAAAUACGCUAUGGGGAUAAACCCCCGGUGCAGGAAACUCCUCCCUAAAGGGUAGUACGUAACCAAGUCAGCCAAAUUUGCUAAUGCUAUAGAAUACAAGAUACUCACAGAUAUUGUUUCCGGUUCAAUGCAACAUGUGCUUCAUACGUUCACCGAUAAUAUCAAAGCACAAUAUUUUGUGAACAGAAGGAGAGGAAAGGCAAAACACAGAGACAUAAAAAAGCCCUCUCUUGCUCUCUCAUAAACAGAUUCUAUUGUGAUGCUCAGACUGCAUCAUUGAUGGAGAAAGUGACUGCCCCAAUCUCAAAUCAUAGAGAAAACCAAAAUAGAAAGACUCAUACAGAGAUUCCUAAAUAAAGUGUUACUGUAGCAGCACUUGUUCUCUUCUUCCUCUUCCUCCAAACCUCAGAAACAUGUAUCCCACCCAAUGCUUCCCCAAAGCCUCACCCUUGAUUCCCAAAAUUCACCUGUCAUUCUUCCCCUCGCCACUACCUCCCUUUCCCAAGAAGAAUGCCUGCCUCUCAUCCUCUGAAUCUUUGAUGACCCAGUUCUCUUCCUUUACUCAAUUCUUCACCCAACUGUACCAAAUGGGUUUCCUAAAGAACCACUCCAAAGUCGUUUGUGUCUGCUGGGGCUGGCAAUCAGGUUAUGGCUCUAUCCAAAAUGGUUCUUGAGGAUGUUACAGGUGUUGAACUGAUAAGAGUCCCUGCCUUUGGUCAGCAGUGUCGAUCGCCAUAAUCCUCCCUUUGAUAUGGCUUUUGAUGUUUGCAUUUACUGGUCAUUUGGCAGAGGCCUUGUAACCCAUGUGGUAUGCAGCAGGGGAGAUGGAGAGGACUCUCAGAAAAGUUGGAUUGUGUGUGGUAGUUGUAGAUGAGUGUGCUGAUGAGGAAGUCAAGAAGAUUGUUAGAUUGUUUAGGAGGUCUAGGCUUCUUGACUCUUCCGAUGUUGCCUUGAAUAGAAGGAAAGUGGCCGACACUAUAGUGAGAACAAAAGCUUCUGCUUAAUCAGGUUUUUUUUUUAUUUUUUUAAGGAGGUGAUUUAUUUCUUUGAUUGAGCUUAUGAUUAGAUUAUAUUGGUUUUGAGUGGUCGUGUUGAAAUUUAUGUUCAUUUUGGUUAUGGUGUACUGAUAUUGUUUGAAGGAAUUAUUUGUUGUUGUGAAUGGAAAAAUUGAAUUUUGAUAGUUCAUUAAAGCAAACGCUAAGAGUUUGCAACUCUAUCUUGAUUGCCUGCCUAGGCUCAUCUUGGGUAGAGAAUGGCAGUAAGACCAUCUAUUAUCUGUUUUCUGCUGAAAACUGAACUCUCUGGGGCUUAAUAUGUCCUCCAUCGCCUAGUAACAAUAUGAAUAUAAUUUUUUCUAUUCAUUUCUUUUCAUCCACACGUGGUUGUUGGCAGUAAUAAUUACAAUAAUUUUGUUUAGUUCUUUUGGUGAUGCUCUGCUUUCACGCAUAGAAUUCACAGACAUCUUUCUUUGAAAAUGUCAAACCUGGAUGUAAUCUCAGAAAGGCCAACCUAGGUCCCCGUUGAUUUAAACUGUUUCUAGCUGGUGCUGCUAUUGAAUGGAGGUCAUUUAACUGGUCUUUUAUGUUAAUGGAUGCUGGAGUCCUUAACAGGGAUAUACUUGGUGUGAUUCGGGUAGCAUCUUCGUCGAUGACAUUGUAGCUAAAGGAACCUUGAAAAGUGUUGUUAACGGAUUUUCUAGUGAUAGUUCAUCUGCCUUCUAAUCCAUGAAGUCGCUUGUAGCGUCAAAACUGUUAAAAUCUAGGGCUUUCAUUAUUAUACAUUCAUGCAGUAAUUUCAAGCAUCCGCUUUUUCCCAAGUCAAGCCGUCCAAUUAAGAGACCUUGUGCAUUUUUUUCCUGAAGGUAGCAUUAGUUGUGGUUUGAAGUUGACU